GUCUUCUUUUUUCUUCAUUAUAUUCUUCAUCUUAAAAAAUAUGAAAAAAUUAGAUAAAACUCAAAAGUUAAAAAUUAUUUACUAAUAAUAUCUUUUACACUCAUAAAUAUAAAAGUUUUAGUUAAAAGUUGUUAAUUUAAUUUUAAAAGGACCUCAUGAAAAAUAUAAAUUUUAAAUGAAGCAUUUAGUAUUUUUUUAAAAAUUAUUUUAAAUAAACAAUCCCACUAUAUAUAGAUUUUUAGAUUUUAUUAGAAAUAUUAAUUAUUUUUGUUGGUAAGCGUGAUUAUUAUAGAUUUAAGUAUUUAUUGAAUAAUUGGUAAGCGUGAUUGUUAUUAGUUUAAAUAUUUAUCAGAUAGGUUAAACAAAAUAUAAUGAAUAUAACAUAAAUUUGGUGAAUUAAUUGAAGACAAUUUGUGAUAUGACAAUUCAUUUAAAAAAAAAAAUAGUGUCUUGACAAUAUAAAAUAGUGUUCAUGUUGUAAAAAAUUUAAAAAUGACAUGAAUUUGACACAAUAAUGAAAUGAAGCCCAUUAUUUAUGUAUGAAGUUGCAGAUAACAUUAUAUAAAAUAAAUACAGAAAGAAAAAAAGAAGAAAAAAAUAAAUGCAAAAUGAUUAAAUUUAUUUUUAUAUAAUUGAAUAAUAGAUAAAUAAUAGUCUAUAAAAAUUAAUAAAAGUCUAUCAAUAUCCAUAAAAGUAAAAUUUGUGAAAGUUAUUCAUAAAAUCAUGAACUCUGAAAAUAGUUAAAAAUUCAUAAAUUUCUUAAAAAUAAUUCAAAAAAUUCAUUUUAAAAAGUCUAUAAAAAUUAUUAGAAAUAUUAAUUGAAUACACCUUUUUUAGUUUUUUUUACUAGUCAUACUUUAUUUUUAAAAUAUAGUUAAUUAAUAAUUAAAAUUAGCUAAUAUUAUUUAAAUAUUUAGAUUAAUAAAUAGUUUGAAACUUCUAUGUAUUGAAACUUGG
This 957-nucleotide long non-coding RNA is filed under the name Ricinus communis (castor bean). RNAcentral describes it as "long non-coding RNA (RCOM_LNC001802)". The record is from RNAcentral. Lineage: Eukaryota; Viridiplantae; Streptophyta; Magnoliopsida; Malpighiales; Euphorbiaceae.